GGGGGUGACCGGCUUUGACGGUCUGUACUUUGAAAGACGUGCGGCGCAGUGCUCUCCCGCCAACACUUUAAAAGGGCAGGGAAACAUACUUGCAAAGAACACUCUUGCAAGCGCGUUAAAGUCGCCUUACUUCGGUAAGGUCGGCGAUAUCGCGUUCGCCUACGCGACGGCCCGCGGCUAAACCCCGCCAGUCUCGCCUAGCGCGACGUCUGUCUUCUAACGGCGCUCACAGCGCGGAAGACGGGCGGAAUCAUCUGUGAGCUAGAGCUCUGUGUCGUCCAACCAGCGCUCGAACCUGCGGACUCGGAGUUGUAUGGUUUCGUUCCGAUUCUUCACAUCUUCUCUUAAACUUCAAUCGGGACUACGCGCCGUAGACUCUCUUUCAUAGACGGAUUCGGACCGGGGUCCAAUUCCCCGCACCUCCACU
RNAcentral lists this transfer-messenger RNA (427 nucleotides) under Candidatus Kaiserbacteria bacterium. It matches the Rfam family "transfer-messenger RNA". From Rfam's summary of the family: Bacterial tmRNA, also known as 10Sa RNA or SsrA, is named for its dual tRNA and mRNA-like properties. Its role is to liberate the mRNA from a stalled ribosome. Lineage: Bacteria; Candidatus Kaiseribacteriota. The record is from RNAcentral.